This 65-nucleotide transfer RNA is filed under the name Cucujoidea sp. 31 KM-2017. Its description in RNAcentral is "tRNA-Thr". It matches the Rfam family "tRNA". From Rfam's summary of the family: Transfer RNA (tRNA) molecules are approximately 80 nucleotides in length. Their secondary structure includes four short double-helical elements and three loops (D, anti-codon, and T loops). Further hydrogen bonds mediate the characteristic L-shaped molecular structure. tRNAs have two regions of fundamental functional importance: the anti-codon, which is responsible for specific mRNA codon recognition, and the 3' end, to which the tRNAs corresponding amino acid is attached (by aminoacyl-tRNA synthetases). tRNAs cope with the degeneracy of the genetic code in two manners: having more than one tRNA (with a specific anti-codon) for a particular amino acid; and 'wobble' base-pairing, i.e. permitting non-standard base-pairing at the 3rd anti-codon position. The record is from RNAcentral. Lineage: Eukaryota; Metazoa; Arthropoda; Insecta; Coleoptera.
GUUUUUAUAGUUUAAAAUAAAACACUGGUCUUGUAAACCAGAAAUAUAUAUCUAUAUUAAAAACA